AUUGAACGCUGGCGGCAGGCCUAACACAUGCAAGUCGAACGGUAACAGGAAGCAGCUUGCUGCUUUGCUGACGAGUGGCGGACGGGUGAGUAAUGUCUGGGAAACUGCCUGAUGGAGGGGGAUAACUACUGGAAACGGUAGCUAAUACCGCAUAACGUCGCAAGACCAAAGAGGGGGACCUUCGGGCCUCUUGCCAUCGGAUGUGCCCAGAUGGGAUUAGCUAGUAGGUGGGGUAACGGCUCACCUAGGCGACGAUCCCUAGCUGGUCUGAGAGGAUGACCAGCCACACUGGAACUGAGACACGGUCCAGACUCCUACGGGAGGCAGCAGUGGGGAAUAUUGCACAAUGGGCGCAAGCCUGAUGCAGCCAUGCCGCGUGUAUGAAGAAGGCCUUCGGGUUGUAAAGUACUUUCAGCGGGGAAGAAGGGAGUAAAGUUAAUACCUUUGCUCAUUGACGUUACCCGAAGAAGAAGCACCGGCUAACUCCGUG
RNAcentral lists this ribosomal RNA (490 nucleotides) under uncultured bacterium. Its description in RNAcentral is "partial 16S ribosomal RNA". It matches the Rfam family "Bacterial small subunit ribosomal RNA", at positions 30 to 507 of the family's 1533-position model. The record is from RNAcentral.